RNAcentral lists this long non-coding RNA (870 nucleotides) under Mustela putorius furo (domestic ferret). Its description in RNAcentral is "lncRNA (ENSMPUG00000031005.1)". The record is from RNAcentral. Lineage: Eukaryota; Metazoa; Chordata; Mammalia; Carnivora; Mustelidae.
GGAGCAGUGGCCCACUGUCCCCGCCCCAUGGACCCGGGCCACUGUCCUGCUAUUGUAUUUGGGUGGCCAACUUUUCUUCUGUCUCAUUCACUCUCCCCGGCCCCUUCGAUCCCAGGCAACAACACCCACUGCCAAGGAACAGAGAAGAAAAGGGAGAGCCCGUAGCAUCUGGGCUGAAUUAAAUCACGAAGCACAAAAGCGUCCAGGCGAUUGGAAGCCAGCAUUCUGGGGGAAGGACCACAGCCCUCACGUUGUUUCUGGUCUCCCGGCGGAUCACUUCCUCAAACAGGUUAUGAGCUCUUCUGAGCUCAAUUCACACCCAGCACACAGCGGAUACAUCAGUUUAGAAUCUGGUCCUACAUGAAAUGUGAGCACCCUGGAGAGUACAGAAAGCAAAACUUCUUGAGCAAGUAGCCCCCAGAGCUUUCUGACAAUACGUUGUAUCCAGUGAACUCUCAGGAAACUAGCAGGGAACUUUCUGGAAUGCAGCUACCAUUUUGUGACCAUGACCUCAAAAAUAGAUGCAAUCUUACAGAGAAGAAAAGUUACCCUUUAUGCUUACCUUCUGCACUAUCCCCCAUCCAUGAACUGGCUGAACUUCUCUCUGAGACAGUGCCUAUCACUGCCACGUGAGACCACGGGAAAUACGGGAACAGAAAAGAAUGAAAAAACGCAUAAUAUCAAAUCAAUGUCACAAAUUAAAUAUGGAAGUCAAGGAGCCUAGUGGCGUGAUGCAGUUCAUAGGCUGUUGAUCAGAUAAUGACUGUGGGGGCUAAAAAAAAAAAAAACAACAACAACAAAAAAAAGGCAAAACAAAGCAAAAACCAAAACGAAAGCAAAGCAGAUAAAUAUAACUGGCUUGUCUUAUUA